GACGAACGCUGGCGGCGUGCUUAACACAUGCAAGUCGAACGGAAAGGCCCUGCUUUUGUGGGGUGCUCGAGUGGCGAACGGGUGAGUAACACGUGAGUAACCUGCCCUUGACUUUGGGAUAACUUCAGGAAACUGGGGCUAAUACCGGAUAGGAGCUCCUGCUGCAUGGUGGGGGUUGGAAAGUUUCGGCGGUUGGGGAUGGACUCGCGGCUUAUCAGCUUGUUGGUGGGGUAGUGGCUUACCAAGGCUUUGACGGGUAGCCGGCCUGAGAGGGUGACCGGCCAAAUGGGGAAUGAGACACGGCCCAGACUCCUAGGGGAGGCAGCAGUGGGGAAUAUUGCACAAUGGGCGGAAGCCUGAUGCAGCAACGCCGGGGGGGGGAUGACGGCCUUCGGGUUGUAAACCGCUUUCGCCUGUGACGAAGGGUGGGUGACGGGAAUGGGUAAAGAAGCACCGGAUAACUAAGU
This 467-nucleotide ribosomal RNA is filed under the name uncultured bacterium. Its description in RNAcentral is "partial 16S ribosomal RNA". It matches the Rfam family "Bacterial small subunit ribosomal RNA", at positions 28 to 506 of the family's 1533-position model. The record is from RNAcentral.